Molecule: ribosomal RNA, 540 nt
Filed under: uncultured bacterium
Lineage: Bacteria
Description: bacterial SSU rRNA
Rfam family: Bacterial small subunit ribosomal RNA
Source: RNAcentral
AGUGAAUAGAUACCCGGGUAGUCCACGCCCUAAACGAUGGAUACUAGUCAUUAGUGGCUUCGACCCCCUAGUGACGAAAGCUAAACGCGUUAAGUAUCCCGCCUGGGGAGUACGGUCGCAAGACUAAAACUCAAAGGAAUUGACGGGGACCCGCACAAGCGGUGGAGCAUGUGGUUUAAUUGGAUGGUAAGCCGGGCACCUCACCAAGAUUUGACAUCCUGAUGAAAGGCACUAGAAAUAGAGUCCCUCGAAAGACAUCAGUGACAGGUGCUGCACGGUUGUCGUCAGCUCGUGUUGUGAAAUGUACCGUUAAGUCGGAUAACGAGCGCAACCCCUAUUGCCAGUUACAAGUGUCUGGCGAGACUGCCGUGGUUAACACGGAGGAAGGUGGGGAUGACGUCAAAUCAGCGUGGCCUUUAUAUCUUGGGCGACACACGUGCUACAAUGGGCAGGUCACAAUGGGACGCUAAGCCGUAAGGCGGAGCAAAACCCAACAAAACUGUCCUCAGUUCGGAUUGAGGUCUGCAACUCGACCUCAUG